UUGAAUGAAACUUCUGGCUGGAUGCUGUUGUGCUGGCCCUUUGGGGCAAUGUGCACACCUCUGGCUGUUUGUUUCUUCUGUUCCACCUGUGCACUGUCUGUAGGCACACACACUGUGUCUAUGAUACAUUACAUACAUAUGAUGUUCUGCAUAGUGGUUGGCAAUAUAUUAUAUUAUAUAUAUA
This 184-nucleotide unclassified non-coding RNA is filed under the name uncultured Amanitaceae. RNAcentral describes it as "sequence contains ITS1". Lineage: Eukaryota; Fungi; Basidiomycota; Agaricomycetes; Agaricales; Amanitaceae. The record is from RNAcentral.